AUUGAACGCUGGCGGCAGGCCUAACACAUGCAAGUCGAACGGCAGCACGGGAGCAAUCCUGGUGGCGAGUGGCGAACGGGUGAGUAAUAUAUCGGAACGUGCCCAGUCGUGGGGAUAACGUAGCGAAAGCUACGCUAAUACCGCAUACGAUCUAUGGAUGAAAGCGGGGGAUCGCAAGACCUCGCGCGAUUGGAGCGGCCGAUAUCAGAUUAGGUAGUUGGUGAGGUAAAGGCUCACCAAGCCGACGAUCUGUAGCUGGUCUGAGAGGACGACCAGCCACACUGGGACUGAGACACGGCCCAGACUCCUACGGGAGGCAGGCAGUGGGGAAUUUUGGACAAUGGGCGCAAGCCUGAUCCAGCAAUGCCGCGUGCAGGAUGAAGGCCU
Molecule: ribosomal RNA, 387 nt
Filed under: uncultured bacterium
Lineage: Bacteria
Description: bacterial SSU rRNA
Rfam family: Bacterial small subunit ribosomal RNA
Source: RNAcentral